GAGAGAGAGAGAGGCACACUCAUUUUGUCACUCUCUCUGAAACAAACACACAACAAACUCCUUCGAUUCCGUUACUUCUUAUGUUCGAAAAACCCUAGCGAAACCCUCUCAUUCUGUAAUAGUAUAACAAAUUUCAGAGUAAGAACAAAAAAUUUCAACCAAUCAUGAACCGUCAAGUUUUACCACCGUUACCGAAAAAUGCAAGUUCACUCGAACCUAAAAUCUGGCGAGCAAUCGCCGGCGCCGCCGUUCAAAUCCCCGCCGUUAAUUCUAGGGUUUA
Molecule: long non-coding RNA, 280 nt
Filed under: Trifolium pratense (red clover)
Lineage: Eukaryota; Viridiplantae; Streptophyta; Magnoliopsida; Fabales; Fabaceae
Description: long non-coding RNA (TPRA_LNC003595)
Source: RNAcentral